Molecule: non-coding RNA, 113 nt
Filed under: Agromyces sp.
Lineage: Bacteria; Bacillati; Actinomycetota; Actinomycetes; Micrococcales; Microbacteriaceae
Description: TPP sequence
Rfam family: TPP riboswitch aptamer (THI element)
About the family: Vitamin B(1) in its active form thiamin pyrophosphate (TPP) is an essential coenzyme that is synthesised by coupling of pyrimidine and thiazole moieties in bacteria.
Source: RNAcentral
GGCAGUGACACGGGGUGCCGCGCUCCAGCCCCGCCCGGGCGAUCGCGGCUGAGAACACACCCGUCGAACCUGAUCUAGUUCGAACUAGCGAAGGGAUGUCGCGUGAGCGAUCG